Bemisia tabaci is the source of this 1819-nucleotide non-coding RNA. The record is from RefSeq and is a predicted model, not a curated record. NCBI's taxonomy places the organism in Eukaryota, Metazoa, Arthropoda, Insecta, Hemiptera, Aleyrodidae.
UAUGACAGAGAUGAUUCGCUUGAUAAUAAAUACAACUGUUCUUAGAAGUUCCAGUAGUCAGUAAAGCUGUGUGUGUCAAACUGACUCUACUGUACUGCGGCAUCUCUAUCAAUCUGAAGGGAAAACAUCCUGAUAAAACGAGAACCUAUUCUUUGACAAAAACAUUACUAUACCAAUGGGACAAAAUGCAAAAAAAUGGGCACUCGAAAAAAUCCCUUCGAUGUCAUCCCUCGAAGUGGCAAGAGAGUUCCUGAAUGCCUCACUGAAUGACGAUCCCGACCCAUAUUCACUGGGUGCGAGCAAACUAGCUCUCAGUUUCCGGAAUUUCAAUCCAGAGGAAGCCAUGCGCCUACUUGUCAAAAUAGCGUGAGCUAGGAAAAUUUCCAUGAGGGAAUUUGUCCAAGAAAUAAAGGACUUUAUUUCUUUAGGAUUUCGUAUGGCUUCUGACCUAAGAUGCGAGUCAGAAUACACUAGUCUCGGGAACAGAUUCAAAGUGAUCUCUGAAAACCCGGAUGCUGAUUCUCUUCUCCUCAUGUGUUCACUGUUCCCACACUUUGCCGUCCAACAAGCACUGGAGAACUGGACAAUCAACCUCUGCAAGCAGCGUCCGAACACAAAGGAAGAGCCUAUCAUGGUUGGCAAAGUUACCAUUCCCCAUUAUUUCUGCCUCCUCGCCUUCGGGGGACUCAUACCAUCCGAGAAAGGGAUGGAAUUAAAUGAAGGGACGAGGAAAAUGAUAAUCGUUGUACAUUUGUGCGGUUUACAUUCUCUACACAUAAAACUGGGGUUCCAACGAGCCAUUUCUUGAUGCAAAAGCACAUUGCAUGUAGUCAGUUAUCAAACGAAGUGAGGUUGAGAGAGCUGAUUAAACUCGGUGUGCUUACACGGAGUAAAAUUCCGUCAACUUUGACGACUAGGAUCUAUGAGUCGAUUAGUGAUGGAUUUCGUUUGAAAGUAGAUAUAGAGCUCCAACGAUACUCCGCGGCAAAAUCGCGAAUUCACCAAUGAGAGAUUGGUAAAAUUGGUCCAAGAGCAUGAUUAUGUGGUCGGAGCAUGUUGAUCGAAUGGACUCUCAGGGAAAAGAUUACCAAGACGACCGUAAGAGAUGGGCACAAAGCUGCCUCUCCUGUCCUGAUGAUGAUUGAAUAUUUCAUUGCAGGUUAUUUUUUUCAUUGGUUUAACGAACAAUUAUCGAAUUUAUGUUUCCAUGAUAUAAAUGCUUUAAUGCAUUAGAAUGACAACUUAAAUAUUAUGAUUUAAUGCACCCGGUGCAAGAUGGCCUGGCAAAUGGGGCGAUGCCCUAGUCGUCCGUAGAAGAAGUAGAAGAAAAAGAAGAAGAGGAGGAAGGAAAGAACAUGAUUGUUUGGCGAGAUUUUAAGAGUCCCUCAGGUCCAAAAUUAGUAGAAAUGAGGAAGCUUGAGUGAUGCUCAGUAUAGUAUUUUUAUUGGUUUGAGAGUGAGCUUGUAAAAGUGUCAUGCAUUUUCCAUCUAUGGCUAAUGUUCUUUUUUCACGAUGUAAAGUCAUCCUCCCUAGGGAAAAAUGAAAAGUAAUUACACAGUUACCAGCUAUUAGUAUUAUAAUACUCGGAAAUUCUUUAGUAACGUCCUGAGAUACAGAAAUGCAUUGAUCGUUCGACUAUCGAAUCGUCCCUGAUAAUCCUGUUACCUAACCAUAAUGAUCAUCCGAGCAUAAAACGCCCGAUUUUUUAAAGCAGGCAAUUAGCACAACAUAGGAGCACGUAUAGUUGCUCUACUGAGUUCACGUUAUUUAACCGUUUCAAGUUCCAAGAAUAAAUGAGGAUUAUUGACGAAAUCUCAAA